GACGAACGCUGGCGGCGUGCCUAAUACAUGCAAGUAGAACGCUCAAGGAGGAGCUUUCUCUUCUGGAUGAGUUGCGCACGGGUGAGUAUCGCGUAUGUAACCUGCCUGGUAGCGGGGGAUAACUCUUGGAAACGCUAGCUAAUACCGCAUAACAGUUGAUGUUGCAUGACAUUCACUUAAAAGAUGCAAUUGCGUCACUACUAGUUGGACCUUCGUUGCAUUAGUUACUUGGUGGGGUAACGGCUCACCAACGCGACGAUAGAUCGGCGACCUGGGGAGGGGGUCGGCCACACUGAGACUGGGACAACGGCCAGACUUCUACGGGAAGCAGCAGGAGGGAAACUUCGGCAAAGGGGGGAAGUCUGGACGGGCAACGCCGGGGGGGGGAAGGAAGUUUUCGGAUCGUAAAGCUCUGGUGUAUGGGGAGAACGAGUGGGGGAGUGGAAAGUUCACGCUGUGACGGUAUCUAACCAGAAAGGGACGGCUAACUACGUG
Molecule: ribosomal RNA, 495 nt
Filed under: uncultured bacterium
Lineage: Bacteria
Description: partial 16S ribosomal RNA
Rfam family: Bacterial small subunit ribosomal RNA
Source: RNAcentral